Molecule: ribosomal RNA, 1149 nt
Filed under: Triticum aestivum (bread wheat)
Lineage: Eukaryota; Viridiplantae; Streptophyta; Magnoliopsida; Poales; Poaceae
Description: partial small subunit ribosomal RNA
Source: RNAcentral
AUGAGCACGCAGGACGGCGAGAUGUCGGCCGCCCUCCACCACCGCCCCCGCUCGCCGCUGGAAGACGAGGAUCUGCUCCCCGAGAUCCUCCUCCGCCUCCCGCCGCAGCCGUCCACCCUCCCCCGCGCCUCCGCCGUCUGCAAGCGCUGGCGCCGCCUCGUCUCCGACCGCGGCUUCCUCCGACGCUACCGCCGACACCACCGCCGCAGCCCUCCUCUCCUCGGUUUCUUCCGCAACGACCUGCGAGGCAUCUCCUACACGCCUGCCAUGGAGGCCCCCGAUCGUGUCCCCGCCGACCGCUUCUCCGCGCAUCUCGACGACGUCGGCUACCACUUCCGUCUCCUCAGCUGCCGCCACGGCCUUGUGCUCAUCUCCCACUCGUCGCGGAACCAGGUCCUGGUGUGGGACCCCGUCACCGGCAACCAGCACCGCAUUGCCGCUCCUCUGGGGUUCGACAUGAACAGUACCCCGAUGGACGGGGCGGUGCUUCGCGUUGCCGGCGACGCCCACCACUUCCAGGUGGUAUUGGUAAGCUACAAGCAGGAAGAUGAACAGGCGAUCGUCUCGAUUUACUUGUCGGAGACCGGUGGAUGGAGUGAUCUCAUCUCAACACCGGUUCCAGGCGAGGCCAUGGAUUAUGAAGGCAUGCCCGCUGUUCUGGUCGGGCAUUCCAUUUACUGGCUGCUCCAUGGGGAUGAUAUAAGUGUAAUUCUUGAAGUUGAUUUGCAUAGCCAGAUUCUAGCUGUGAUACAGGUGCCAACAAAUAUGUUUGCCAAAGGUCAGUACUUGAUGGUUAUGCGAGCAGAGGGUGGCGGUUUGGGCAUACUCUCCCUGUCAGAAUUCACGGCCGAGUUAUGGAAGAGGAAUACCGACGGUGAUGGUGUUGCUUCAUGGGUGCUGGGACAAACUAUUGAACUGGACAAGCUACUUCCCCUGUCUUCAGAUAAGAGAAGCCACAUAUCGAUGCUAGCGUACGCUGAGGAAAAUAAUGUGGCUUUCUUGCGUACAGUUGCCGGUAUCUUCAUGGUCCAGCUUGAGUCAUUGCAGUUCAGUAAACUUCCUGAAAACAACAACGCUGUUGUCUGUUAUCCAUUUGAAAGUGUCUAUGCUGCAGAAGCAGGCAUUGGUGGUGCCAUGGAGCUAGUAUGA